GAUGAACGCUGGCGGCGUGCCUAAUACAUGCAAGUCGAGCGAACGGACGAGAAGCUUGCUUCUCUGAUGUUAGCGGCGGACGGGUGAGUAACACGUGGAUAACCUACCUAUAAGACUGGGAUAACUUCGGGAAACCGGAGCUAAUACCGAAUAAUAUUUUGAACCGCAUGGUUCAAAAGUGAAAGACGGUCUUGCUGUCACUUAUAGAUGGAUCCGCGCUGCAUUAGCUAGUUGGUAAGGUAACGGCUUACCAAGGCAACGAUGCAUAGCCGACCUGAGAGGGUGAUCGGCCACACUGGAACUGAGACACGGUCCAGACUCCUACGGGAGGCAGCAGUAGGGAAUCUUCCGCAAAGGGCGAAAGCCUGACGGAGCAACGCCGCGUGAGUGAUGAAGGUCUUCGGAUCGUAAAACUCUGUUAUUAGGGAAGAACAUAUGUGUAAGUAACUGUGCACAUCUUGACGGUACCUAAUCAGAAAGCCACGGCUAACUACGUG
RNAcentral lists this ribosomal RNA (497 nucleotides) under uncultured bacterium. RNAcentral describes it as "partial 16S ribosomal RNA". It matches the Rfam family "Bacterial small subunit ribosomal RNA", at positions 28 to 507 of the family's 1533-position model. The record is from RNAcentral.